This is an RNA transcript of Perca flavescens (yellow perch), 7126 nucleotides long. It is a transcript of the gene named kinesin family member 21A, with no coding region annotated. The record is from RefSeq and is a predicted model, not a curated record. The transcript is spliced from 37 exons. NCBI's taxonomy places the organism in Eukaryota, Metazoa, Chordata, Actinopteri, Perciformes, Percidae.
UGUGUGUGUGUGUGUGUUCACGUAUAUGCGCGCGGCAGUGGCUUACCUAGCAGCAGCAGCGGCAGCGGCAGUCUGCAUGUGGGCUCGAGCCGGAGCUGAAGCAUCCGGGCCGAACUGCGCAGAGAUGCGGUGCACGUAGACGCGACAUGCGGACACACCGCCUCACCUCCCCGCGCUGAUGUCAUGGUUAAAAACACCGUUAAGAUAUUAUUUGUUUGUUUUGCAAUGGCGGCGCUAAAGUCGAAGUGAACAGCUCCGUUGGUCGGUCCGCUCGCCUGCCCGGGAGUGCACAGUUUUCUUUUUUUUUCUCACUCUUUUGCCAGGGCAAGGAGCCAAGACAGUGAAAUCCGUUUUUUUUUUGUUCUUUUUCUAUCGAGUAUUGUAUAAGGAAUCAUGACUUCGGGGCAGGACGAUAGCUCAGUCCGUGUGGCACUCAGAAUCCGCCCUCAGCUGGCCAGGGAGAAGAUAGAGGGAUGUCACAUCUGUACGUAUGUGAUGCCCGGGGAGCCUCAGGUGAUCCUGGGGAAAGACAAGUCCUUCACCUACGACUACAUGUUUGACAUGGACUCCCAGCAGGACACCAUCUACGCCGCCUGCACGGAGAAGCUGAUUGAGGGCUGUUUUGAGGGCUACAACGCCACCGUCUUUGCAUACGGACAGACGGGUUCAGGGAAGACCUACACCAUGGGGACGGGCUUUGACGUCAACAUUGAAGAGGAGGAGCUGGGUAUCAUCCCCCGCGCCGUCCACCACCUCUUCAAGGGCAUCGAGCAGCGCAGACAGGCCGCUCAGGAACAGGGACGCCCCGUACCGGAGUUUAAGAUCAACGCCCAAUUCCUCGAGCUUUAUAAUGAGGACGUUCUGGAUCUGUUUGAAUCCACACGAGACACAAAGCAGAAAUCUCACAUCAAGAUCCACGAAGACGCCACAGGGGGAAUCUACACAGUAGGAGUGACCACACGGAGCGUGUCCUCCGAGGCUGAGAUGAUGCAGUGCCUGAAGCUCGGGGCUCUGUCUCGCACCACAGCCAGCACUCAGAUGAAUGUCCAGAGCUCUCGAUCCCACGCCAUCUUCACCAUCCACCUGUGCCAAGUUCGAGUCUGUGCCUCCGACAAUCAAGAAAGUGAGACUGAUAACAGAGUCUCCAACGGAAAUUCUGAGAUGGACGAGUACGAGACGCUGACAGCCAAGUUUCACUUUGUGGACCUGGCCGGUUCUGAGAGGCUGAAGAGAACCGGAGCGACGGGCGAUCGAGCCAAAGAGGGCAUCUCCAUCAACUGUGGACUGCUCGCUCUGGGGAAUGUUAUCAGUGCUUUGGGCGACCGGAGCAAGCGGUCCUCACAUGUGCCUUACAGAGACUCCAAACUCACCCGACUUCUACAGGAUUCAUUAGGAGGAAACAGCCAAACAGUGAUGAUCGCCUGCAUCAGCCCGUCUGACCGGGACUUCAUGGAGACGCUGAACACGUUAAAGUACGCCAACCGAGCCCGGAACAUCAAGAACAAGGUGAUGGUGAACCAGGACAAGGCCAGCCAGCAGAUCAGCGCUCUGAGAACGGAGAUCGCUCGACUGCAGAUAGAGCUGAUGGAGUACAAGACGGGUAAACGCUUGAUGGGUGAGGACGGCGUGGAGAGCUUCAGCGACAUGUUCCACGAGAACUCCAUGCUGCAGACGGAGAACAGCAACCUGAGGGUGAGAGUGAAGGCCAUGCAGGAGACCAUCGAUGCCCAGAGGGCGCGUCUCACCCAGCUGAUCAGUGACCAGGCCAACCAGGUCCUUGCCAGGGCAGGUGAAGGUGGAACUGAAGAAAUUGGAAACAUGAUUCAGGGUUACAUCAAAGAGAUUGAAGACCUCAGAGCCAAACUCCUGGAGAGCGAAGCCGUGAACGAGCAUUUGAGAAAGAAUCUGACCCGUGCCUCCAAUCGUCAGUCGUUGUACGGAGGGCCCGCGCUGCUGGCCCCCGAGAAGGAGACUUCUGACAUCAUCGAACUCGCCAAGAAAGACCUGGAGAAACUGAAGAAACGAGAAAAAAAGAAAAAGAAAAGUGCCAACAAGGAGGAAGUUCCUGACAAUGAGCAAGAAAAGGGCACAGAGAAGGAAAUGACGGAGCGAGUCCACGAGGAAGCAGAAAUUGAGGUCCAGGAAGGCAGCGACCACGAGGAAGGGGAAGAGGAAGAGGAUGAGGAGGAAGAGGAGAUGGAUGUGGAGGAGAGCUCAGAUGAUUCGGACUCUGAGUCAGAUGAAAAAGAGAACUUCCAGGCCGAUCUGGCCAACAUCACCUGCGAGAUCGCCAUCAAGCAGAAGCUGAUCGACGAGCUGGAGAACAGCCAACGGCGUCUGCACACGCUCAAACAGCAGUAUGAACAGAAGCUGAUGAUGCUGCAGUGCAAGAUCAGGGACACCCAGCUGGAGAGGGACCGUGUACUCCAAAACAUGAAUACAGUAGAAACUGGCACAGACGACAAGUCUCGCAAGAUCAAGGCUGAAUAUGAGAAGAAGCUGAGCGUUAUGAACAAAGAGCUUCAGAAGCUCCAGUCGGCUCAGAAGGAGCAUGCCCGUCUGCUGAAGAACCAAUCGCAGUACGAGAAACAGCUGAAGAAGCUUCAGAUGGACGUGGCGGAAAUGAAGAAGACGAAGGUCCGUCUUAUGAAGCAGAUGAAGGAGCAGCAGGAGAAGAACAGGAUGAACGAGUCACGCAGAAACCGAGAAAUUGCUUCGUUAAAGAAAGACCAGCGCAAGCAAGAGCACCAGCUAAAAUUACUGGAGGCUCAGAAAAGGCAGCAGGAGCUUAUUCUGAGGAGAAAGACGGAGGAGGUGACGGCUCUGCGGAGGCAGGCCAGGCCCACUUCAGGUAAGGUCAUCAGGAGAGUCAAUGUCCCAGAAUCAGUGCAGGACUCCACCCACAGACCUCCGUCUGGACGCUUGUACUCCUCCGGCAACGCUGCUCCCAACGGUACUCGGUAUACCUACAGGCGCACAGUCGGUAUUUACUCCACCAGAAUCGCACGUAAUAAAUGGCAGUCUCUGGAGCGGCGGAUCACUGACGUCAUCAUGCAAAGGAUGACCAUCUCCAACAUGGAGGCCGACAUGAACCGCCUCCUCAAGCAACGAGAGGAGCUGACCAAGCGUAAAGAGAAGGUCAUCCGGAAGAGGGAGCGGCUGGACAGGGAGGGCCCUGAAGCCGAGAAGGCAGCGCUUCCCCUCAACGAGGAAGUGGAUGCGUUGACGGCCAACAUUGAUUACAUCAAUGACAGCAUCGCAGACUGUCAGGCCAACAUCAUGCAGAUGGAGGAAACCAAGGAGGAAGGCGACACAGUGGACAUUUCUGCUGUGAUUGGUUCCUGUACCUUGACAGAAGCUCGUUUUCUGUUGGAUCACUUUAUGUCCAUGGCUAUCAACAAGGGUCUCCAGGCAGCCCAGAGGGAGUCUCAGGUGAAGGUGAUGGAGGGGCGGCUGAAGCAGACGGAGAUCACCAGCGCCACACAGAACCAGCUGCUCUUUCACAUGCUGAAGGAGAAGGCCGAGUUCAACCCUGAGCUGGAUGCCCUGCUGGGGAAUGCGCUGCAAGAACUAGGUAACGUCCCGGCUGAAAAUGGGGAUGAUAGCAGCAGUGAUGAGUCUGCCCAGAGCCCUUCUGCAGAGGGAAACACCUUGACGUCAGAUCUCAUGAAACUUUGCGGCGAGACCAAAACAAGAAAUAAGGCUCGUAGGAGGACCACCACUCAGAUGGAGUUGCUGUACGCAAACAGUGACUCAGCCGCCGACCCACCCACCGCAGACUUCUCCAGUCCAAUGCUGCCGUUAGCUGAAACACCGGACGGGGGAGGAGACAUGGAGUCAUCGGGCUCAUCAGUCAGGGACUACACAGCUCUCUCUCCCGGCUUUUCCUCUAAAAUGGGCAGCAUUUCUGGAUCCAGAACUUCGUCAGGGAUGGAAAAGCCAUCGCCAGAGCCUUCCCCGUUUUCUCGCAGGAAGACCUAUAACAAGGCACAAGCAGCGGCUGACAGGGCAAAGGUCAAGGAGAUUAAACACCCAGUCAUCGGGAACCAGAAGAGCAGCCUGCCUCGUCCUCGCUCUGCUACCGCUUGUCCCAGUAACCACGUUGCUGCGUUUAGCCGUAUGACAGGGUAUCUGGGGCGUACUGCAAACGUCUUACAGGAUAAGACGAAUCGAUGCCUCCACCUGUCCUGCAACCACAUCCUGCCUUCUGUUUCCCCUCCUCUCACCAAUCCACCCAAGGGCGUCAUUAACCCGGUGCCACCCACUAAAAGCAGUCGGUCUGCGACGUUGCAGUGCGUCCACGUGGCAGAGGGACACAGCAAAGCUGUUCUCUGUGUCGACUGCACUGAUGACCUUCUCUUCACUGGAUCCAAAGACCGGACCUGUAAGGUGUGGAAUCUGGUGACUGGUCAGGAGAUAAUGUCCCUGGCUGGUCAUCCCAACAACGUGGUGUCAGUCCGCUACAGCUCCAGUUUGGUCUUCACUGUCUCCACCUCCUACAUCAAAGUCUGGGACAUCCGGGACUCGGCCAAGUGCAUCCGGAUACUAACGUCCUCUGGUCAGGUUACUGUUGGGGAUGUCUGUGCGUCUAACACCAGCCGGACGGUCACCAUCCCAGCAGGAGAGAACCAGAUCAACCAGAUCGCUCUCAACCCCAACGGGACGGUUCUGUACGCCGCCGCCGGAAACUCCGUCAGAGUCUGGGAUCUUCGAAGGUUUGCAUCCACAGGGAAACUUACUGGUCACCUCGGUCCGGUGAUGUGUCUGACUGUGGAUCAGUCUGGAAACAACCAAGACCUGGUGAUCACCGGGUCCAAGGACCACUACAUCAAGCUGUUUGACGUGACUGAAGGCUCGUUGGGGAGCAUCGGCCCCACACACAACUUUGAACCUCCCCAUUAUGAUGGCAUCGAGUCACUGGUGGUCCAGGGGGACAUUUUCUUCAGCGGCUCUCGAGACAACGGCAUCAAGAAGUGGGACCUGGACCGCAAAGACCUGCUGCAGCAAGUCCCUAACGCCCACCGUGACUGGGUUUGUGCGCUGGGUGUUGUCCCCGGGUCCCCGGCCCUGCUGAGCGGCUGCAGAGGUGGGGUGCUCAAGCUGUGGCACACGGACACACUGGGGACUCUGGGGGAGCUGAAGGGCCACGAGAGCCCCAUCAACGGCAUCUCUACCAACAGCAGCCACCUGUUCACCGCCUCUGAUGACCGGACUGUGAAGAUCUGGCGUGCACGUGGUGGACUGGACAGCACUUUAGAGGCGGUUGACAAUGCAGACGAGGUGGCCAGUAACUGAACGCUCUGAAAGGACACUACGGGCAUCUUUUGAUGCUGCUGCCCUGCACUUUGACCCUUAACUUCUCAAGCCCAGUGCUGACUCCUAAAACACAUACUCUCCACGCCAUGUAACGUUUAUGUCUGGGCCAACAGGAAAGUAAUCUCCUCUCAGAAACUAGCACAGUCAUUCUUUUCUUAGACUCUGUGUGCUCAGAAAGUCGUAAUUCUCAUAGUUCACCGUAUUGUUAAUGACUCUUUGCAGGAUAAACUCAUAUUUUUCUCUUUUGCACUGGAGACGUUACGUCACCGUGGCUCAUGAUCAGAACCUGUACUCACAAGAUGUUUAUUUAAGAGUUGAACAUGUCUCACACACAGAGAAAAUAUCUCUGCUGCUCAGCUCUGUGCCAGGAUAAAGUACACCUGCGGGCACAUAAUUACCCAGGAAAAGGCUAGCAGAGUUACAUUAGAAAAGAAACUGGACAGGACGACGCGUUUAGAGGAGAAAAGUGUGGCAGAGCUAACGGGUUGGUAGCUGGUCUUCGCAACCUGGAUUAUUUCUCUGCAAUGUAAGCAGAACCAAUGCCCCCCCCACCCCCCUUCUCCCCCCCAAUGUGAAAAAGACAAAUCACCCCUUAACUUUUCCUGCUUUUGUGCCCCUCAGUUUCUGCGGCUAUUUUAAGAUCCGCGACCAAAAUUGGGCAAACUUGUCGUCUUUGCUCAUAUCAGUCGGUUUUAAAAUAAGGCUACAGCCAGCAGCUGCUUAGCUUAGCUUAGUUUAGUUUAGCAUAGCGACUGGAAAAGGGAAAAAACUGCUAGUCUCGCUCUGUCCAACGGUAAGAAAAUCUAACUUCUAGCCCAAAGCUAGAAAAAAAUGACUUUGUAUGGUUUUGCUCACAACCAAUCACUGCAAGCGUUCUUCGAUUUAAUGUGACGUGUGAUUGGCCCACUACUGCAGCAGCUACAAGAGGUGGGAGGUGCUUUUAUUACCUUAAGUCAGCCCUAGUUAGUCUUCUCAUCUGCUUCUGUAAUAAAGAGAAUAAGUGUAUUUCCCAAAAUGUCAAACUAUUCCUUUAACUAUUGAGCACUUGUGAAAACCGACACAAUUAGUCUUUGAGAUGCACUUAAUUCUUCGUAAAUGUGAUCAGGUUCAGCGUUUGAGGGUAUUCUACACUUAUUUCAUCGUAUGUAAAAUUGUAUGUUCACUCUUCACAUAUUGCAGUUAACACUCACUGAAUCUACACUUCUGAGUCGUCGUCUAGUGCCCAUGCUGCUAAGUUGUGUGCUCACCUCCUUCUCUCAACCCCAUAAGAGGGCUUCUUGUCAUGGACUCCGGGCCUUCAGACUCUGCCCGUGUUGUGAGCCUAACCACAUCUGUCUCCCAGUUCUGAUCCUUGUGGGGCCUUCCUUGAGACACCCGCGGUCUCCCUGAUGUAACCGAUGUGUCUGUCGCGAUUGUGAGCUGUCACUUUUGAAUGUUCGGUGAAACAACAGUUGUAGGCAUUAUCGAAGCACGUAUCUGAUGUAUGUAAACAACGUAUUAAAAAUGAAGUCUGACUGAAUGUUAGUUUUGCGGGACCACGAUCUGAGCAGUCUCACACGAGAGCCGAGAAGACCUGAGUUGGAAGGAAGACUGACGAGCUUUAAUGCUUUUCCUCCAAUGAGGUGGCAGAUUGUGUUUACUGGCCUACGGUUAGUUUUGUUUUUCUUGAUUUUGUUUAAAUGCUGUCCCUGUUCCACAUAGCCUGGGUGUUCUCACUCGGAGUUUUAGAAGCCAUUCCCAAGUGGCGGACUCUGUAGCGAUUCUAAUGUCAGAUGCCUUGGUGAGAAUAAACGCCAUCUGUCAAAAACAA